Molecule: ribosomal RNA, 259 nt
Filed under: uncultured archaeon
Lineage: Archaea
Description: partial 16S ribosomal RNA
Rfam family: Archaeal small subunit ribosomal RNA
Source: RNAcentral
UAGCCGUAAACGAUACUCGCUAGGUGUCGGCCACGGUGCGACCGUUGUCGGUGCCGUAGGGAAGCCGUGAAGCGAGCCACCUGGGAAGUACGGCCGCAAGGCUGAACUUAAGGAAUUGGCGGGGGAGCACCACAACGGGUGGAGCUUGCGGUUUAAUUGGAUUCAACGCCGGACACCUCACCAGGGGCGACAGCAGAAUGAUGGCCAGGUUGAUGACCUUGCUUGACAAGCUGAGAGGAGGUGCAUGGCGUAGUCGUGU